UGGGUCAUGGCUCAGUGGUAGAGCUCUUGCCUAGCAUGCAUGAGGCACUGGGUUUGAUCCCCAACAGCACAU
Molecule: transfer RNA, 72 nt
Filed under: Urocitellus parryii (Arctic ground squirrel)
Lineage: Eukaryota; Metazoa; Chordata; Mammalia; Rodentia; Sciuridae
Also listed under: 1 other name
Description: Spermophilus parryii (Arctic ground squirrel) tRNA
Rfam family: tRNA
About the family: Transfer RNA (tRNA) molecules are approximately 80 nucleotides in length.
Source: Rfam by way of RNAcentral